Molecule: long non-coding RNA, 504 nt
Organism: Magnolia sinica
Lineage: Eukaryota; Viridiplantae; Streptophyta; Magnoliopsida; Magnoliales; Magnoliaceae
Exons: 3
Source: RefSeq, a predicted model, not a curated record
UGCAAACCUUGGUGUCCUUGAUAAGCUUAUUGCAGCUCGUCAUGAGCUUGCAGAGAUAAUGGGGUAUAAAUCUUACGCUCAAUUUGCAGUUCAUCCGAAUAUUGCAUCAUCACGAGAUGUUGUGAUGCCCUUUUUGCUUGAUUUAAGCAAGAUUGUUACGCAUAAGGCUGAUGAGGAGUUUUAAGGCAAUUAGGGAUUUCAAGAGGAAAAUAUGCAAUGAAGAUUGUGCAGACUUGGAGCCAUGGGAUGAAGCUUAUUUCACGGGAAUGAUGAAGUCUUCUACCUUCAACUUAGACUCCUCCGUAAGUUGAACCAUUGUUGUUUCAUGAACUUUACUUGCUUUUUUGUGGCACAACUCCUUGCGUGAUUUGAGCCUUAGAUGUCUUUUCAAACUAAAUUUGAAAACCUAAACCUAAAUCCGAUCCCCAACCCGAACCCGAACCCGAUUUCCUAAACUUAAACCUUAACCUAUUCUUAAUUCCCUAAAGUUAUAACCUGUAACCU